UUCCCUGUGGCUCAGUUGGUAGAGCAUGGUGUUUGCAACGCCAGCAUGGGUUCGAUUCCCACGGGGGGC
Molecule: non-coding RNA, 69 nt
Organism: Salmo salar (Atlantic salmon)
Lineage: Eukaryota; Metazoa; Chordata; Actinopteri; Salmoniformes; Salmonidae
Source: Rfam